AUAAAGAAAGUAAAAAAGGGCGCAUGGCGGAUGCCUUGGCUCUCGGAGGCGAUGAAGGACGUGAUAAGCUGCGAUAAGCUUUGGGGAGGUGCAAAUGACCUUUGAUCCAGAGAUUUCCGAAUGGGACAACCCAAUAUCUUGAAGAGGUAUUAUCCAACGUUGUUGGAGGCUAACGCAGGGAACUGAAACAUCUUAGUACCUGCAGGAAAAGAAAAUAAACAAUGAUUCCCCCAGUAGUGGCGAGCGAACGGGGAACAGCCCAAACCAUCCAUGUUACGGCAUGGGUGGGGUUGUAGGACUACGUCAUUGCAUGAAGACAUCAGAGAAGAACUUUCUGGAAAGAAAGACCAUAGAGCAUGACAGUUGCGUAUUCGAAUGUUGUCGAAGCAUAGUAGUAUCCUGAGUAGCGCGGAGCACGAGGAAUUCUGCGUGAAUCUGCCGGGACCAUCCGGUAAGGCUAAAUACUCCCGAGAGACCGAUAGCGAACCAGUACCGUGAGGGAAAGGUGAAAAGCACUUCGAACAGAAGAGUGAAAUAGUUCCUGAAACCGUGCGCCUACAAGCGGUCGGAGCUCGUUAAUGAGUGACGGCGUGCCUUUUGCAUAAUGAACCUACGAGUUGCCUUUGCCGGCAAGGUUAAGUGUGACGACACACGUAUCCGAAGCGAAAGCGAGUCUGAAUAGGGCGUAUAGUCGGCAGUGGCAGACGCGAAACCAAGUGAUCUACCCUUGGCCAGGUUGAAGGCUGGGUAACACCAGCUGGAGGACCGCACCAAUAAGCGUUGAAAAGCUUCUGGAUGAGCUGAGGGUAGGGGUGAAAGGCUAAUCAAACUUGGAGAUAGCUCGUACUCCCCGAAAUGCAUUUAGGUGCAGCCUUGCGGGUUACUGAUGUGAGGUAGAGCGACUGAUAAGAUGCGAGGGCUUCACCGCCUAUCAAGUCUUGACAAACUCCGAAUGCGCAUCAGUUCUACCGCAGGAGUGAGGGCAUGGGUGCUAAGGUCCGUGCCCGAGAGGAGAAGAAUCCGGACCACCUGCUAAGGUCCCGAAAUGACAGCUAAGUUAAACUAACGAAGUCUGACUGCUAAGACAGCUAGGAUGUUGGCUUGGAAGCAGCCAUUCAUUUAAAGAGUGCGUAACAGCUCACUAGUCGAGGAGUCGGGCGUGGAUAAUAAUCGGGUAUCAAGUUGUCUACCGAAGCAGUGGGAUCAUUGAUAUGAUCGGUAGGGGAGCAUUCCAGUCAGCGUCGAAGGCGUACCGUGAGGUAUUCUGGAGCGUCUGGAAAAGCAAAUGUAGGUAUAAGUAACGAUAAAGGGGGCGGGAAACCCCCUCGCCGAAAGACUAAGGUUUCCUGAUCAACGCUAAUCGGAUCAGGGUCAGUCGGGUCCUAAGGCUCAGCCGAACGGCGAUGCCGAUGGCAGAAACGGUUAAUAUUCCGUUACUACCUUCAGGAGUGACGUGGAGACGCAGUAGUGACAGUGCCGCCAUCUGACGGAAUAGAUGGUUGAAGGGUGUAGGAGUCGAUCAUGGCAGGCAAAUCCACCAUGAGAUCCGAACCUGAUAGUAUGCCGCGUCCUUCGGGACAAGGCAAUAGUGCGCGUAAGCAUGCUGCCGAGAAAAUCCGCUAAACUUAAUCCUGCAGGUACCCGUACCGCAAACGGACACACGUAGUCGGGAUGAAUAUUCUAAGGCGCUUGAGUGAUUCACGGUUAAGGAACUAGGCAAACUGACCCUGUAACUUCGGGAUAAAGGGUCCCUACCCUUUUAUGGGAGGGCGCAGAGAAUCGGUCCAGGCAACUGUUUAACAAAAACACAGGGCUGUGCCAAAUCGAAAGAUCCAGUAUACAGCCUGACACCUGCCCGGUGCUGGAAGGUUAAGAGGAGAUGUCAUCGAUAAGAGAAGCGUUGAAUUGAAGCCCCAGUAAACGGCGGCCGUAACUAUAACGGUCCUAAGGUAGCGAAAUUCCUUGUCGGGUAAGUUCCGACCUGCACGAAUGGUGUAAUGAUCUGGACGCUGUCUCAACCGUGAGCUCAGUGAAAUUGUAGUAUCGGUGAAGAUGCCGAUUACCCGCGAUGGGACGAAAAGACCCCGUGAACCUUUACUAUAGCUUAUCAUUGAAUCUGGGCACGUGAUGUGUAGGAUAGGUCGGAGGCUUUGAAGCAGGUACGCCAGUAUUUGUGGAGCCGCUGUUGAAAUACGACCCUUUAUUUGUUUGGAUUCUAACCCGUGGAACGGGGACAUUGAUUGGUGGGUAGUUUGACUGGGGUGGUCGCCUCCAAAAGCGUAACGGAGGCUUCUAAAGGUGCCCUCCGGCCGAUUGGUAACCGGCCUUAGAGUGUAAUGGCAUAAGGGCGCUUGACUGGGAGACUAACAAGUCGAUCAGGUAGGAAACUAGAGCAUAGUGAUCCGGUGUUUCCGUAUGGAAGGGACAUCGCUCAAAGGAUAAAAGGUACUCCGGGGAUAACAGGCUGAUCCCUCCCAAGAGCUCAUAUCGACGGAGUGGUUUGGCACCUCGAUGUCGGCUCGUCACAUCCUGGGGCUGGAGAAGGUCCCAAGGGUUGGGCUGUUCGCCCAUUAAAGUGGCACGCGAGCUGGGUUCAGAACGUCGUGAGACAGUUCGGUCUCUAUCUAUCGUGGGCGCAUGAAAUUUGCGUGGCUCUGACACUAGUACGAGAGGACCGUGUUGGACAGACCUCUGGUUUGCCGGUUGUGCCGCCAGGUGCAUUGCCGGGUAUCUAAGUCUGGAUCGGAUAAGUGCUGAAAGCAUCUAAGUACGAAGCCGGCCACAAGAUUAGAUUUCUCAGGGUCGUUGUAGACUACGACGUUGAUAGGAUGCAGGUGUAAAGAUGGAGACAUCAAAGCCGAGCAUUACUAAUUGCCCGUUCACUUUCCUUA
RNAcentral lists this ribosomal RNA (2891 nucleotides) under Bacteroides sp. AM26-11. RNAcentral's name for it is "bacterial LSU rRNA". It matches the Rfam family "Bacterial large subunit ribosomal RNA". Lineage: Bacteria; Pseudomonadati; Bacteroidota; Bacteroidia; Bacteroidales; Bacteroidaceae. The record is from RNAcentral.